RNAcentral lists this long non-coding RNA (399 nucleotides) under Homo sapiens (human). Its description in RNAcentral is "HSALNT0214020". Lineage: Eukaryota; Metazoa; Chordata; Mammalia; Primates; Hominidae. The record is from RNAcentral.
UUUUUUUCUGGUACUUGAGUUUUUUCUGUCUUGUUUUCUUUCUCUUUCUCUUUCUCUUUUUAAUUUUUUCCCCCUUACUUUGAUUUCUAAUUUAUUUCUCAUUUUCUUUUUCUUUUUAUUCCCUUCAUCAAGUGGUGCCUAAUGUAAGUGUGGUCCCUCCUUACUGUAUCAUAAACAGGUAUUAUGGCAGAGAUAAUUUUCACUGAAGAGAUUAAAGCUGUAGACCCCACUAGGGGUCACUUCUGACCUACUGAUGAGUCCUUAAUCCUGUAAUUUUGCCUUGGGGUUUAUAGCCAACCCAGGAGUCAGUUUUCCUUCUGAUCCUAUAAUUUUCCACCUUCAUGAACCCCCAAGGACCCAAGUCAAAGGCAUUGUUAUCCACAUCCUCUCUGGACACAA